Molecule: ribosomal RNA, 253 nt
Filed under: uncultured bacterium
Lineage: Bacteria
Description: partial 16S ribosomal RNA
Rfam family: Bacterial small subunit ribosomal RNA
Source: RNAcentral
UACAGAGGGUGCGAGCGUUGUCCGGAAUCACUGGGCGUAAAGGGCGCGUAGGCGGCUUGAUAAGCGUGCGGUGAAAGCCCGGGGCUCAACCCCGGGUCGGCCGUGCGAACUGUCGAGCUGGAGCACUGUAGAGGCAGGUGGAAUUCCGGGUGUAGCGGUGGAAUGCGUUGAGAUCCGGAAGAACACCGGUGGCGAAGGCGGCCUGCUGGGCAGUGGCUGACGCUGAGGCGCGACAGCGUGGGGAGCAAACAGG